Helianthus annuus (common sunflower) is the source of this 235-nucleotide long non-coding RNA. RefSeq lists it as uncharacterized. The transcript has 3 exons. NCBI's taxonomy places the organism in Eukaryota, Viridiplantae, Streptophyta, Magnoliopsida, Asterales, Asteraceae. The record is from RefSeq and is a predicted model, not a curated record.
AGUACACCGAAGAAGGUUCAUGGUAAAGAGACGUUGAAAUUAGGUGAUGGUUUACGUUUCAAGACAAGCCAAGAUGUUAAAGGAAAGGGAAAAGGUAAACUUUUUGUCGACCGAUCCGUCACAGUCGAUAAUUUCAACAAACAAUGCAAAGGCCGAAAACGUUCUACAACAUCUGCUCAAACUGUCAAGCAUCGAAAGAAGUUUACAAGGAAUGCAAGCAAAGUUUCCGGUCUCG